AGCUCCAAUAGCGUAUAUUAAAGUUGUUGCAGUUAAAAAGCUCGUAGUUGGACUUCUGAUUCGAAAGAUCGGUCCGCCGCAAGGCGAGCACUGAUUCUUCGAGUCUUCCUCUCGUAGUUGUUUGGCGCACUUGAUUGGGUGCCAGAUGAAUAUGGGACCUUUACUUUGAAAAAAUUAGAGUGUUCAAAGCAGGCAAUCGCUUGAAUACAUUAGCAUGGAAUAAUAGAAUAGGACUUUGGUUCUAUUUUGUUGGUUUCUAGGACCGAGGUAAUGAUUAAUAGGGACAGUUGGGGGCAUUAGUAUUUAAUUGUCAGAGGUGAAAUUCUUGGAUUUAUGAAAGACUAACUACUGCGAAAGCAUUUGCCAAGGAUGUUUUCAUUA
Molecule: ribosomal RNA, 381 nt
Filed under: Stephanoecidae sp.
Lineage: Eukaryota; Choanoflagellata; Acanthoecida; Stephanoecidae
Description: SSU rRNA
Rfam family: Eukaryotic small subunit ribosomal RNA
Source: RNAcentral